CUGAGUGCUAAACACUUUGAAGACCUAUCUCAUUUUGUCCUUAAAACCAUCCUUGAUCCUUUCUAAGAGGUGCUGAAAGCCAACGUAUCCAGAUGAGAAGGAGCCUGACUAGGGCGGCUUUGUGCUGUAUCACACCAGUCCCCAUGGCUUCUCCUUGGACAAUUGAGAAAAGCCUGUACUCAGGUUCUGUGCUAAGGGCUCGCCUGUCACCACUCCUGUCCUCCAGCACUUCAGGCCGCUGGGAGACAGUUGGUUUUUCUAUUCAUUUUCCUCCCACCUCCUGUCUGCAAGGCCGCAGCAUAAAGCACGGGCAGGCAAAGCUCUGGAAUCAGCAGGCUGGGCCCAGUGUGUAGGCCCAGGAAUGUGUAGCUUCCACUGGCGUGUACUGGAACCCCCCCAGAGCCUGCGGCCACUUUCCCACUGUCAGGGCUGCCUGUGGAUGUAUCA
RNAcentral lists this long non-coding RNA (447 nucleotides) under Rattus norvegicus (Norway rat). Its description in RNAcentral is "long non-coding RNA NONRATT023214". Lineage: Eukaryota; Metazoa; Chordata; Mammalia; Rodentia; Muridae. The record is from RNAcentral.